This 27-nucleotide small RNA is filed under the name Bombyx mori (domestic silkworm). RNAcentral's name for it is "ovarian small RNA-34938". The record is from RNAcentral. Lineage: Eukaryota; Metazoa; Arthropoda; Insecta; Lepidoptera; Bombycidae.
UGGCUGCAUUCGAGAUGAUAACUUGGU